GGGCCCGCACAAGCGGUGGAGCAUGUGGUUUAAUUCGAUGAUACGCGAGGAACCUUACCAGGGCUUAAAUGGGAAAUGACAGGGGCAGAGACGCCCCCUUCUUCGGACAUUUUUCAAGGUGCUGCAUGGUUGUCGUCAGCUCGUGCCGUGAGGUGUCGGGUUAAGUCCCUUAACGAGCGCAACCCCUAUCUCUAGUUGCCAGCGGAUAAUGCCGGGGACUCUAGAGAAACUGCCCGUGCAAACGGUGAGGAAGGUGGGGAUGACGUCAAAUCAUCACGGCCCUUACGUCCUGGGCUACACACGUGCUACAAUGGUCGGUACAGAGGGCAGCUACCACGUGAGUGGAUGCAAAUCUCGAAAGCCGAUCUCAGUUCGGAUUGAAGUCUGCAACUCGACUUCAUG
Molecule: ribosomal RNA, 402 nt
Filed under: uncultured bacterium
Lineage: Bacteria
Description: bacterial SSU rRNA
Rfam family: Bacterial small subunit ribosomal RNA
Source: RNAcentral